UUUAUUGUUGUUGUUGUGU
Molecule: non-coding RNA, 19 nt
Filed under: Rattus norvegicus (Norway rat)
Lineage: Eukaryota; Metazoa; Chordata; Mammalia; Rodentia; Muridae
Source: RNAcentral